GUUGUGCCAGGGAGGGUUUGUUGGGCAAACGUUGAGACCAACCGUCAAAGGAGCACUUCCGCAUCGCCUGAAGAUUAAGUACCUGAGAAAGUCCCUAAAGCCAUCGACGGUUAGGAGGGAACCCAACUUCACUUUCACUGCUCAAAUAUUCUCCGUUGCACCAGAGUGAUGGAGACGACGAGCGCGAGGCGUUACACAACUCCGAGGAAGACGCUGAUGGAGGCUGAACACUCUUCCGAAGGGUUCGCGGCAGAAGGCCGCCCGCCUGCUCUUGAGUCACAGACGUGCUUUCCGAAUUCCUAAAAAAGGGACAUUCAGAUGUUUUCAUAUGAGAUCCCGGGGGGGGGGGGGUAAAUGCAUGAGAGGAUUUCAAUCUUGAGCAUGAUGCAUGGAAAAUGUGUUC
Long non-coding RNA from Gasterosteus aculeatus aculeatus (three-spined stickleback), 403 nucleotides. NCBI's taxonomy places the organism in Eukaryota, Metazoa, Chordata, Actinopteri, Perciformes, Gasterosteidae. The record is from Ensembl.